GGACCGAGGUCAGUAGAAGAUGGGGAAGAAAGCAGCCUUGUCUCACAUUGCUACAGUUUCCACGAGUUGGUCGGAAAACUGGGACUGAAAUUGGCAUCGAACUGUUAUGGAAUGUUUUUGCCAGGUGGUGAGAGAUUUGCUCCAGCUGUGAACACGUCUUAAACAAUGUGAGACAUUUUGGCAGUGACUCAACCGUGCACGAGAAGAUUGAAUACGUUCUCCAUCAAUGACGUCAGACUCGUGUUCCACAGCGGCUGCAUCCAUGUCAAGAUUACAUGUCGCAUGUCAGAGUUCGUCUGCUAGUAAAUUUACAGGGUUAACAUUUAAUAUGAAGUGUAAUGUUUGCUUUGGGUUGUAAUGUUCUCCAUCAGAACGUGUAUCAAAUGAAAAGUCGGAUGUAAGGAGUAUUUUUUCACGAAAUGUCUCACUUAAAAAAGACUAAGGCCGCGUUCACAACCAGUUAAUCUGCAGACUAUAAAAUAGAAAACCUUAAUUGAAAGCAAGUUAAUUGCUUAACCCUGUGGGACGAGUGGGAGGCGGGGAAUCCAUUGUCAAGUAUGCGCCAUAUUUGAUCCACGGACUAGAUAAACCGCGGAUCAACUGGUUGUGAUCGCGGUCUAAUACUUUACUAAUAAGCGUUAGAUCUGUAUGUCGUUGGUUUGCUACUAUACAUAUAUGCAUGUACUCGGUAUGUAUGUUAGCGGAGACGGCGGCAUUGUUCAGUCGAGGAAGAAAAUGCGAUGCGUAUCUACUAAAAGAAAUUGGAUAAUUCGCAGUAAUUGGAAUAAUAGUCUUGCAGAUAUUGUCGCAUUAUCAAAAUAUAUCAACAAUACUGCGUAUCUGUCCAUGCGUAUAGUCUUUCUAAAAUUUCAAAAUGUGAUUGUGACGCAUAUUAAAAAUAAACUUGGUAUUCUAAUAUCAAGUCUGAUGUGUCAGGCCACAUUUUUAGAGAUGAGGAUCAAAAGUCACCCUGGUUUUGGAAACAACCAGGGAGUGGAGAUUCCCAGUAAUUAAUGUAUGCAUUUGUUAUUGCAAUAGUAAAGGAAAAGUCAAAGGAAAUCAUUGAAUUAUAGAAAAUGAUUUAUUUCGCGAUCGGUAUAUUAUCUUCAUUAAGGGGUUUAUGUAGGACUAACAUUCAUCAGAAACUUUU
Lingula anatina is the source of this 1150-nucleotide long non-coding RNA. RefSeq lists it as uncharacterized. The record is from RefSeq and is a predicted model, not a curated record. Lineage: Eukaryota; Metazoa; Brachiopoda; Lingulata; Lingulida; Lingulidae.